This 220-nucleotide unclassified non-coding RNA is filed under the name Hevea brasiliensis (rubber tree). Lineage: Eukaryota; Viridiplantae; Streptophyta; Magnoliopsida; Malpighiales; Euphorbiaceae. The record is from RNAcentral.
CAAGAGCUCCCUUGAUGCCUUUUCUCAGAUAUUGAAGAAUGAAGGUGCUAAGUCACUCUUCAAGGGUGCAGGAGCAAACAUUCUUCGAGCCGUUGCUGGUGCAGGUGUGCUUGCUGGUUAUGACAAGUUGCAGCUGAUCGUCUUUGGUAAGAAGUAUGGAUCUGGCGGUGCUUAAGUUGCUCUGAGGUUACUCCAUUUAGCUUUAGAUGUUGAUGAAAAU